This is a non-coding RNA of Oryza sativa Japonica Group (Japanese rice), 2322 nucleotides long. NCBI's taxonomy places the organism in Eukaryota, Viridiplantae, Streptophyta, Magnoliopsida, Poales, Poaceae. The record is from RefSeq and is a predicted model, not a curated record.
AAAGAGAAGAAAAGAACACACGCCCUCUCCUCCGCGGCUGAGCGGCUGCGGCUCCGCCUCCUCCCAUCCCACCAUCCCAAACUUCUCUCGCACCAGUCACCCUCCUCCCGUCGCUUGGCCGCUCUCUCUCACUUCGCGCGCGCGCGCGAACCCGCACCUAUCGCCGCCCAUGCCCUCGCGCUCGCGGCUCUGAUCCGGUCGCCAUGCAGCAGCGCUCGCCGACGGCCGCGUCGGCCUCGGCCUCGGCCUCCUCGGUGGCGGCGGCGGCGGGCGUGGGCGGGGUGGAGCCGGCCGUGACGCUCGACCAGGUGCCGCGGUGGAGCGACGCCGACCAGCGCCUCUCCCCCUCCUCAUCCCCCACCGCCGCCGGAUCCGACGAGACCCCCGCCUCGUCGUUCCUCUCGUUCGCCGACCCGCUCAUCGGCGACGGCGCGGCCGCUGGGGCCGGGGGCCGUGGCGCGUCGCGGUUCCCCGUCGACCACGAGAUCAACUCGAAGAUCUGUCUCUGGCGCGGCCACCCGUGGAACCUUGAGGUCGAUGCCGUUGUCAAUUCGACAAAUGAGAACUUGGACGAGGCGCAUAGUAGUCCAGGGCUGCAUGCAGCGGCUGGGCCAGGGCUCGCCGAGGAGUGCACCACCCUGGGUGGUUGCCGGACUGGGAUGGCUAAGAUGACCAAUGCAUAUGAUCUGCCUGCUCGGAAGGUAAUUCAUACUGUGGGCCCUAAAUAUGCUGUCAAGUAUCACACAGCUGCAGAGAAUGCACUUAGCCACUGCUACAGGUCUUGUUUGGAACUUCUCAUUGAGAAUGGUCUGGAAAGCAUUGCAAUGGGUUGCAUAUAUACAGAAGCCAAAAAUUACCCUCGUGAACCGGCUGCUCAUGUUGCAAUAAGAACUGUUAGACGUUUUCUGGAGAAGCAGAAAGGCAAAAUAACUGCUGUUGUCUUUUGUACUACUACAUCAUCUGAUACAGAGAUAUAUAAGCGAUUGCUUCCCCUAUAUUUCCCUCGGGACAAGAAAGAGGAAGAGAUUGCUUCAUUGAAACUUCCAGCUGAUGUUGGGGAUGAGAAUGGUGAAACAAUAAUAGAUGAACGGAAAAUACGAAUAAAACCUUUGCCUGCUGGGUCUGCUAUUAACAAAUCUGCAGCUCCUGCGCCAGUAGAUAUUCCUCUUUCUGAUUCUGGAUUGACACGUAGUAGGAAUUCUUUCAAGUUAGAUUCAUAUUUGGAUCCUGCCUUUAUGUCACUAAUUAAAGAUCCAGAUCUCCGACGCAAGGAGCAGUUGGAAAAGUCUGUUCAGGCAAACAAGGGAUUUAAUUGGGCUAAAUUGGUUGGAUUUGGCGACCUUGGUGGUCCUCCAUUAUCUGCUGCUGAAGAUUAUUCACUUCAUUCAUGACACCUUGCUAAAGCAAAUUCUCUCAGUCUCUCAGAGAUUGCUGAGAUGAAAAUAAUUUACCGCGGUGGAGUUGAUAGUGAAGGGCGUCCUGUUAUGGUGGUUGUUGGUGCUCACUUUCUACUUCGCUGUUUGGAUCUUGAGCGAUUUAUUCUAUAUGUAGUAAAGGAGUUUGAACCAUUGAUUCAAAAGCCUUACUCAAUUGUCUAUUUCCACUCAGCAGCAUCUUUACAAGUGCGACCAGAUUUAGGAUUCAUGAAGCGGUUGCAACAAAUAUUAGGUCGGAAGCAUCAGCGCAAUCUUCAUGCUAUAUAUGUACUUCACCCAACUUUGGGAUUGAGAACAGCUAUAUUGGCUUUGCAGCUUUUCGUUGAUGGGGAGGUCUGGAAGAAAGUUAUCUAUGUCGACAGACUUGUGCAGCUGUUCAGAUACGUACCACGUGAACAACUGACAAUUCCUGAUUUUGUCUUCCAGCAUGAUCUCGAAGUGAAUGGUGGAAAGGGCAUAAUAAUUGACCCUAGAACAAAGCAUGUCUACCAAAGACCAUCAGGUUGAUAAAUAUAGCCUGCUAUAUGCAGAGAUCCUCCAAUACCACACUGUACAAUCUCUUUGCCCUCUAUAGAAGAUUUUCCUUCUUGAUCUGUGCAUUUUGUAUCUAGUUGAGUUGGCAGUGUUUUGUAGCCUUCUAGUCUUUUCUUUCUGUUCUGUCAGGGAAGCGUAGAUUAUUAUGUAUAUGUAUCGCUCUAUAUAAUAAUAAAAAAUGCUGUGGCCGUCUCAAAUUCUCCAGCUAGGCUGGCCUCUUGGGUGCUGUGUAAUUCUGGCUGGUCUUUGCAAUGAACAUAUGUUCGUAGAGAAAUAAAGUGAUCAUUGUCUAAGUGGCCAGGAAAUAACAUCUUCUUAUCUUCCCUUUCAAUAAAGGAUAAUUUGUUCAGUA